ACGGAGGGUGCAAGCGUUAUCCGGAUUUACUGGGUUUAAAGGGUGCGUAGGCGGAUUUUUAAGUCAGUGGUGAAAGCCCGGAGCUCAACUCCGGAACUGCCAUUGAUACUAUUAAUCUUGAAUACAGUUGAGGUGGGCGGAAUGUGUAGUGUAGCGGUGAAAUGCUUAGAUAUUACACAGAACACCGAUUGCGAAGGCAGCUCGCUAAACUGUUAUUGACGCUGAGGCACGAAAGCGUGGGGAGCGAACAGG
RNAcentral lists this ribosomal RNA (252 nucleotides) under uncultured bacterium. RNAcentral describes it as "partial 16S ribosomal RNA". It matches the Rfam family "Bacterial small subunit ribosomal RNA", at positions 525 to 776 of the family's 1533-position model. The record is from RNAcentral.